This 253-nucleotide ribosomal RNA is filed under the name uncultured bacterium. RNAcentral's name for it is "partial 16S ribosomal RNA". It matches the Rfam family "Bacterial small subunit ribosomal RNA", at positions 524 to 776 of the family's 1533-position model. The record is from RNAcentral.
UACGUAGGGAGCAAGCGUUGUCCGGAAUCAUUGGGCGUAAAGCGCGCGUAGGCGGCCCUGUAAGUCCGUUGUGAAAGUCAAAGGCUCAACCUUUGAAAGCCGAUGGAUACUGCAGGGCUAGAGUCCGGAAGAGGCGAGUGGAAUUCCUGGUGUAGCGGUGAAAUGCGCAGAUAUCAGGAAGAACACCCGUGGCGAAAGCGGCUCUCUGGAACGGUACUGACGCUGAGACGCGAAAGCGUGGGGAGCGAACAGG